Molecule: ribosomal RNA, 163 nt
Filed under: uncultured bacterium
Lineage: Bacteria
Description: partial 16S rRNA
Rfam family: Bacterial small subunit ribosomal RNA
Source: RNAcentral
UAGGGAAUCUUCCACAAUGGACGAAAGUCUGAUGGAGCAACGCCGCGUGAGUGAAGAAGGGUUUCGGCUCGUAAAACUCUGUUGUUAAAGAAGAACAUAUCUGAGAGUAACUGUUCAGGUAUUGACGGUAUUUAACCAGAAAGCCACGGCUAAAUACGUGCCG